Molecule: ribosomal RNA, 615 nt
Filed under: Pseudomonas aeruginosa
Lineage: Bacteria; Pseudomonadati; Pseudomonadota; Gammaproteobacteria; Pseudomonadales; Pseudomonadaceae
Description: bacterial SSU rRNA
Rfam family: Bacterial small subunit ribosomal RNA
Source: RNAcentral
UAUUCAGCGGCGGACGGGUGAGUAAUGCCUAGGAAUCUGCCUGGUAGUGGGGGAUAACGUCCGGAAACGGGCGCUAAUACCGCAUACGUCCUGAGGGAGAAAGUGGGGGAUCUUCGGACCUCACGCUAUCAGAUGAGCCUAGGUCGGAUUAGCUAGUUGGUGGGGUAAAGGCCUACCAAGGCGACGAUCCGUAACUGGUCUGAGAGGAUGAUCAGUCACACUGGAACUGAGACACGGUCCAGACUCCUACGGGAGGCAGCAGUGGGGAAUAUUGGACAAUGGGCGAAAGCCUGAUCCAGCCAUGCCGCGUGUGUGAAGAAGGUCUUCGGAUUGUAAAGCACUUUAAGUUGGGAGGAAGGGCAGUAAGUUAAUACCUUGCUGUUUUGACGUUACCAACAGAAUAAGCACCGGCUAACUUCGUGCCAGCAGCCGCGGUAAUACGAAAGGGUGCAAGCGUUAAUCGGAAUUACUGGGCGUAAAGCGCGCGUAGUGGUUCAGCAAGUUGGAUGUGAAAUCCCCGGGCUCAACCUGGGAACUGCAUCCAAAACUACUGAGCUAGAGUACGGUAGAGGGUGGUGGAAUUUCCUGUGUAGCGGUGAAAUGCGUAGAUAUAGG